AGCCUGAUGCAGCCAUGCCGCGUGAUUGAUGAAGGCCCUUAGGGUUGUAAAGAUCUUUCAACAGUGAAGAUAAUGACGGUAACUGUAGAAGAAGCUCCGGCUAACUCCGUGCCAGCAGCCGCGGUAAUACGGAGGGAGCUAGCGUUGUUCGGAAUUACUGGGCGUAAAGCGCGCGUAGGCGGAUUAUUAAGUCAGAGGUGAAAUCCCGGGGCUCAACCCCGGAACUGCCUUUGAUACUGGUAGUCUAGAGGUCGAGAGAGGUGAGUGGAAUUCCGAGUGUAGAGGUGAAAUUCGUAGAUAUUCGGAGGAACACCAGUGGCGAAGGCGGCUCACUGGCUCGAUACUGACGCUGAGGUGCGAAAGUGUGGGUAGCAAACAGGAUUAGAUACCCUGGUAGUCCACACCGUAAACGAUGAAUGCUAGUCGUCAGGGGACUUGUCCUUUGGUGACGCAGCUAACGCAUUAAGCAUUCCGCCUGGGGAGUACGGUCGCAAGAUUAAAACUCAAAGAAUUUGACGGGUU
This 522-nucleotide ribosomal RNA is filed under the name uncultured Paracoccaceae bacterium. RNAcentral describes it as "bacterial SSU rRNA". It matches the Rfam family "Bacterial small subunit ribosomal RNA", at positions 380 to 919 of the family's 1533-position model. Lineage: Bacteria; Pseudomonadati; Pseudomonadota; Alphaproteobacteria; Rhodobacterales; Paracoccaceae. The record is from RNAcentral.